GAGUUUGAUCCUGGCUCAGGAUGAACGCUAGCGAAAGGCUUAACACAUGCAAGUCGAGGGGCAGCAUGAUCUUAGCUUGCUAAGGUCGAUGGCGACCGGCGCACGGGUGCGUAACGCGUAUGCAACUUGCCUUACAGAGGGGGAUAACCCGUUGAAAGACGGACUAAAACCGCAUACACUUGUAUUAUUGCAUGAUAUUACAAGGAAAUAUUUAUAGCUGUAAGAUAGGCAUGCGUCCCAUUAGCUUGUUGGUGAGGUAACGGCUCACCAAGGCAACGAUGGGUAGGGGAACUGAGAGGUUUAUCCCCCACACUGGUACUGAGACACGGGCCAGACUCCUACGGGAGGCAGCAGUGAGGAAUAUUGGUCAAUGGGCGAGAGCCUGAACCAGCCAAGUCGCGUGAAGGAAGACAGUCCUAAGGAUUGUAAACUUCUUUUAUACGGGAAUAACGGGCGAUACGAGUAUUGCAUUGAAUGUACCGUAAGAAUAAGCAUCGGCUAACUCCGUGCCAGCAGCCGCGGUAAUACGGAGGAUGCGAGCGUUAUCCGGAUUUAUUGGGUUUAAAGGGUGCGUAGGUUGUUCGGUAAGUCAGCGGUGAAACCUGAGCGCUCAACGUUCAGCCUGCCGUUGAAACUGCCGGGCUUGAGUUCAGUGGCGGCAGGCGGAAUUCGUGGUGUAGCGGUGAAAUGCAUAGAUAUCACGAGGAACUCCGAUUGCGAAGGCA
Molecule: ribosomal RNA, 725 nt
Filed under: uncultured bacterium
Lineage: Bacteria
Description: bacterial SSU rRNA
Rfam family: Bacterial small subunit ribosomal RNA
Source: RNAcentral